Molecule: long non-coding RNA, 2474 nt
Organism: Carya illinoinensis
Lineage: Eukaryota; Viridiplantae; Streptophyta; Magnoliopsida; Fagales; Juglandaceae
Exons: 2
Source: RefSeq, a predicted model, not a curated record
ACCACUAUCAAAUUAUUGCGAUUUUACAUCACUUCCGUAGACCCUCACAAAAAGACAGUUCUCCGAUUCACUUUGUGAAUUAAUAUGAUCAUCAUUGAUCAUAAACAAAUUAUUGCGUAGUUCGGGGAUUUUGUCGUUGCCUUUUGGUUUAUAAACUCGGUUUUGUGUUGGUGCCUUAAUGGGUAUUUGGUGGUUUCUUUCAGUAAUUGCUCAAAACAGAUAUCUAUAUUCUUUACUCAUAUGGAACCUGAUAUUUUCAAUAGAAACAUCUAGUUGAAGAGCACAGGUGGAUGGUGGACCAUAGGUGCAAGAACAGGUUUGCAGAAAAGUACUUAGCUCGAACUGCCCUUUCUUCUUGCAGUUUUAUUUUUAAUUUUUGCAGACAAAACCUUGUAACUUUUAUGUUGUAUACUGCAGUAGUCUACAAAAGGGUUCUGGAAUCGGAGAUAGUUUGCGUAGUGGCGGAAUUUCAUUGAUGGUUAGAGGUGGGAUUGGGAUGCUUUAGUUGGGGUAGCUUUAGGUGGGAUAUCUUUGAAGUUAAAGCGGUAUAUAAGUUGAACAGCCCGAUGGUAUGGCCGUUGGGGUCUUCCUUCGUUACAACUUUUGUGCAACGAUAUUUGAAGAUAAGCAUCUACUAUAUGCUUCUUGAGCUAUUGUAGAUAUUUGGAAUUCUUUGUCGAAAUCCCCGUUCCAAUAGUGUGCUGCAAAUGAUUGUCUUUGUUUUUAGGUUCUUUGGGUGGGGUUCUCGAAUUGGGAACUAGUGAGCUGUUUGAUAGAAUAUCGUGAGUGAUAAGAAUUUUGUGGGUUUUCCUCCUUCUGGAGUAAGGUGAGAGACCAUACCGUAAGCACUAAGAAAUUUAGAACUUUGGUUUGAGUCUGGAGGAUCUUAGUCAGCUGAUAUGGGUGGCAUCAAGACUGUCGUUUGGUUUAGGAGGGACCUCAGAAUAGAGGAUAAUCCCGCCUUAGCUGCAGCUGCUAGGGAUGGUUCUGUUUUUCCUGUCUAUAUAUGGUGCCCUAAAGGGGAAGGACAAUUUUAUCCCAGCCGAGUUUCAAGGUGGUGGCUGAAGCAAUCUCUUGCCCACUUGGAACGGUCCCUGAAGUCCCUUGGGGCUGAGCUUAUGCUGAUCAGAACUGACAGUACUCUUGCCAGUCUUUUCGAGUGCAUCAAAGCGGUUGGGGCAACAAAAGUAGUAUUCAACCAUCUUUAUGGUAUUUUCUGGUUCCUUUCUUCAAAGCAGCUCGACUCCACUGAUAUAAACUUUAAUCGACUAAAUAAAUUUAGUGAGCAUAUCAACUAUGACCUUAUUCGUUGUUAAAUUAUCAAUUGUUAAGCUAAUAGGAAACAAUUUCAUUUAUGUUCUAACACUCGCCGUCACACGUGGUCUAAACUCCCCUUUUAUAAUUAAAUUAUCAUAAGCUAAUAGGAAGCAAGUGAAUCAAUUAUUUCAUUUAUGUUCUAACACUCGCUGUCUUGCGUGGGCUAAACUCCUAUUUUAUAAGCGGAACAUAACACCUAAGAUAUUCAAUUUAUAACGGGGAGGUUAGGUGUGUUGUCGUAUAUCAUACUCAGGACUUAAGUUUUGGCACCAUCUUAUCACUACUAAAAGCCCAUGUUGAUGAGAAUAAGUGAAGUUAAGCAUUUAAUAUAUAUUCUAACAUUCUUUUGUCGCUCAUGCUUAUAUGUCCAUUGUACUUGAAUGGUAUAUAUUCAGUGGCAAACUAAUCCAUGUAUGAAUCUUUCAGCUUGUUAUAGCUGUUAUUCUUUAAGUUUAUAACUCGGUCACAUGAUUACUACAUCGAUAUAAGGUAUGGGUGUCAAAGAGAUAAAUAAACAAGUCUGUGAACUUGUAAAACUCUAGUGGCAGCUACAGAAAAUCUGUAAAAAUCCUAUGAAUUAGAGUUGUCUGGUCUAAAACAGAGGGUCACCGUUUUUGUUGAAAAGAGAGAGAGAAAGAGGUUAACGGCUUAAUUUUGAUGAAUUCUCUACUAACUAUGUUAUUUACAAGAAUACUUAAAGUAUAUAGCUUAUGUUUUUCUAAGGAAGAGUUUCAGAAGAUUAUUUACUUGAAGUUUUAGGUUUGAUGGAUUUUAUAGUGGGCUUUCCAAGGACUUCAGCUGGAAAUAAUACUAUCUAAGUAAUAGUUGAUUGUCUGACGAGAAAUGCUCACUUUAUACCUAUUAAGAAUACAGAUUCUCUAAAAAAAUUGACGAUAAUUUAUAUAGUAGAUAUUGUCAGAUUGCAUGGAGUGCCUAAAACGAUCGUGUUAGAUAGAGACUUUUGUUUUAAUCACCUAAUUCUUAACUAAUCCCAUUGAUGCUCUAGGUCUAUCUUACCCGUAAUUGAUUUGUGAUAGUUUGUAUAAAAAUUUUGACAAAAAAAUCCAUCUCUAUUUUUAAUGAAGACCAAGAAAUGAAGGAGUGGUUGUAUGGAUUUAUGAUCAGGUGUAUAUAAAUGAAGAUUAAAUAUUAUAUAA